Molecule: ribosomal RNA, 253 nt
Filed under: uncultured bacterium
Lineage: Bacteria
Description: partial 16S ribosomal RNA
Rfam family: Bacterial small subunit ribosomal RNA
Source: RNAcentral
UACGUAGGGUGCGAGCGUUGUCCGGAAUCAUUGGGCGUAAAGCGCGUGUAGGCGGUUCGGUAAGUCCGCUGUGAAAGUCGGGGGCUCAACCCUCGGAAGCCGGUGGAUACUGUCGGGCUAGAGUACGGAAGAGGCGAGUGGAAUUCCUGGUGUAGCGGUGAAAUGCGCAGAUAUCAGGAGGAACACCAAUUGCGAAGGCAGCUCGCUGGGACGUUACUGACGCUGAGACGCGAAAGCGUGGGGAGCAAACAGG